UCUGUUAUGAUGAUCCUGUAAGGUUUGGCCUUUAUUCUAUUAAUGUGACAUAUUACAUUAAUUGACUUUUGAAUGUUAAGCCAAUCUUGCAUUCCUAGGAUAAAUCCUAUUUGAUCAUGGUGUAUAAUCCUGUUUAUACUCUACAAGACAUACAAAUGUGAACCUCUAAAAUCUGCUUUUACAAAGAUGGAAGAAUUAGAAAGUUUCAGUGUAUUCAAUCAAAAAUGCAAACUCACUGGUUCCUUUGGCACAGGGAAGCCUUGGGAGGGUAUUUGACAGUAUAAGUGGUUAAUGAGAUAUAAUUUGGAAGUCUACUGAGUGGGCAUCAGUAGUCUCAGGGAAGGCUAUUGUUUUACUGAUGAAAAGGUUCCAACUGAACUAUCCAGCAAAAGACUCAACUGUCCAUUCCCCAUGACUUGUGGUCUUGACGCCCCUUCUGGCUGCAAAGCAGGCUGCAAGUGGAGUAAGAGGAUUCUAUUACAUCUAAGAACCAUCUGACCAAACAGAGGCAAGGAGAGCAUCAAGACUGUGCUGGAAGGAAAAUGGCUUUCGGGCUCUUGGAAGAGUUGCCUACCCUGAUCCUCUGGGUUUGCUCUCCAGGUUCCAUUGGAACAAGAAAAGGAGAGAUGAUCAUACAAGCCAAAAUUUGAAGUGAUGUAGCUGUGACCCAAGGAACGCUAGCAGUUUCUAGAAGCUGAAGGAGACAAAGAACGCAUCUUCCCUUGGAGUCUCCAGAAGGAAUCAAUUCUGACAACAUCUUGCUUUUAGCCCAGAAGACUCCUGUCAGACUUCCAACCUCCAAAAUUGUAUGAGAACUAAUUUGUGUUGUUUUAGAUCAGUAAAUUUGUGGUAACUUGUUAAAG
Molecule: non-coding RNA, 863 nt
Organism: Odocoileus virginianus texanus
Lineage: Eukaryota; Metazoa; Chordata; Mammalia; Artiodactyla; Cervidae
Source: RefSeq, a predicted model, not a curated record